ACGCUGGCGGCGUGCUUAACACAUGCAAGUCGAACGGGGAUGAAGGAGAGCUUGCUUUCCUGAAUCUUAGUGGCAAACGGGUGAGUAACGCGUAGGCAAUCUACCCUAGGGAUGGGGACAACAGAGCGAAAGUUCUGCUAAUACCGAAUGAAGUAACCUUAUCGCAUGGUGGGGUUAUGAAAGGCAGCUGAGACAAGCGAAGCUGUCACCCGAGGAUGAGCCUGCGUCUGAUUAGCCAGUUGGUGAGGUAACGGCUCACCAAAGCGACGAUCAGUAGCCGGUCUGAGAGGAUGAACGGCCACAUUGGGACUGAGACACGGCCCAGACUCC
Molecule: ribosomal RNA, 330 nt
Filed under: uncultured Veillonellaceae bacterium
Lineage: Bacteria; Bacillati; Bacillota; Negativicutes; Veillonellales; Veillonellaceae
Description: bacterial SSU rRNA
Rfam family: Bacterial small subunit ribosomal RNA
Source: RNAcentral